CAUGUUCUGGUUUAAUUGGGAAAUCUCUCCUUUGACUUUCAGAAUAGCAUAGAAGCAGAAACUCUGAGUCUAAACAGACCUAGAUUCUGAACAGAGCUGAUGCUACUUGGAGAAGACUGGAGAAGCAGUAAGAAACCAAGGGUGACCGAGAGGCAGGGAUGUCUCUGGAAGAAGUGAGCAGCUGGCAUUCUUCCUCCUGGCAACCAUGAAUUUGCUUUUUGUAUGCAGAGAUUUGCCUUGACUGUUCAUUUCAUUCUGUACUUAUGACCUUGUGUGGACUACCUUAGGACUGACUGACAGAGGCAGAAAUGCCUAGUGCCUGCACUAUGGAGAGAUAGUAUGAUAGAUGAGGACUCUCCGGAAGUAGAUGGCAGCAGCACUGUGGAUUAUUUCUAGGAUAUUCCUGAACGAGAGUGGUUAGGGCAAUGUUUUGACUAUGUGUUUGGAGAUUUGGAAGGAGCAUGAUUGGACCAAAUGAGAACAAAUGUUACUUUGCUUUCCCAUGGACUAAGUUUAUAUAUUGAAAAUAUAAUAAACUAGGUGGAUCACAAGCAAUGGAAAUUAGUUUCAGAAGCUAAGAGUUUCAUGGUCAAGGCAGCAGCAGAUCGUUUCUGGAUAAAAUAAAACAGCACUGGGACAUUGGCUGCUCUGAAUUACAGGAGGUAAUUGAUCAUGUAUGCUUUCUGUAGGCUGAAGAUAGGAAAUGACCGUACUGCUUAAUUUGGAUGCUUCUUGUAAUCCAUCUGCAUGAGUGUCCAGACAUCUGGGGGCAAGAGACUUAUAUAUUGAUGAAACAAAUCUCAGCCUAUGGGGAAUCUCCAACUGAAAAUCUCCAGAAGGAAGUAAAUAUAUGGAUACAUUUUCCUACUGCUAUUAGGACACUUACAGAGUCCCAACUUACCCUGGUAGUAGAAUGUGAUUCCUGUGGUGUGUUCUACAAAGCCCUUUCACUACUAAGCAUACGUGUAUGUGUGCUUAAAUCAGACAGUAUACAGACCAACAAUUGAUCUCUGCAAGUGAAAUCAAAAUGCCGGCCAGCAAGAGGUCAUUUUAAGAGCAUUUCAUCUUAAAUCAGUGGCAUGCUCUUCUCCCUAUUUGAUGUUGGGAGGAGUUUCAUGACCUUCAAGGGACUCUCAUUGUCAGGGCUUAUUUCCGUGGACCCCAGGCUUCAUGAAUUUGCAUUGUGCAUUUGUGAUUGGCUCAUGCUGGAUUGAUUGUAUCAACACUAUAUCCACCUAGGGAUGGAGCCAGUAUACAAUGUAAUGGCAGAAAGGUGUGUCUCUCUCUCUUUCGAAUAUCCACCUUAUUGAUUGCAGCCACCAUGAACUGAGGCCUCCCAUGCAAACCAACCUUGGAGCCAACUGAGUAUAGACCCAAAUCUCCAAAAACUGUAAGAAAUAAACCUUUGUGUUCCCAACUUUGGGCAUUAGGUCUUUUGUCUCAACAAUGAAUGAAAAAUAACUAUACAGAAUUUGAUACCAAGGAAUGGGUCAUUGCUGUGACUAUACCUGACCAUGUUUUUUGAGAGGCUUUGGAAAUGGCUUCUGGGUAGAAAUGGAAAAGUUCAGACAUGUUACCUGUAUGCAUAGAGCUGGAGCAGCUUAGGCUGUUCUGUAGAGGAGAUUCUGGUCAGAGUUCAGGAGACCAGAAGGCUGAUAGAAAGCCUGAUGACCAGGCUUGGAAGGUUUCUUCUGGGAAAAAGGACUCAUUGGUUGUUGGACUUCCCAUGAUGUGUGUAUGGCUUGGCAAAGAGUUUGUCUGCAUUUGCUCAUGCCAAGAGGUAUUACCUGAGGCUGAGAUUAAGAGCAAUGGACUGAUUAAUCUGGCAAAGGAAAUUUCAAGGCUGUCAAAUGUGGAGGUGGUGGCAUGGCUAUUUUGGGGGCUUUUAGCCAGAUAUAUGUUGAAAAUCAAGAAGAGCCCCCCAGGAUAAUUUUAAAAGCUGUGAGUUUGGCCAGAAGGAAAACUCCAGUAAAGCUGUGCAUUGUAAAGAUAGAGCUGAGAUUUCGAUUGCUGAAAAGGAACAGAGAAAUGAGAAAGAUGGCCAGAGGGCAUCCCAGGAAGCAGUAGGUCUCUGUCCUUUGCAGCCUCAAACUGCAAAAGUGAAAGAACUUGCUGAGAGGAGAAAGCUUCACAGCACCAUGCUCCAAACUGACAAGAGAGGUUCCAGAAUGGCAGCAGUCAAAUGAGAUUCCAGAAUGGCAGCAACAUGGAGAAGCUUUUCCUCACAAUCAGGAAAACAGCUUCCAGUAAUCCAUGCACUUUGAAAAGCCUGGCUACAGCUCUAGCUGGCAGCAAACUUUGGUGGCAUACACAUAGUGCUUAUGUUAGGUGCAAGGAAAAUGCACAAAUUUGGAGGGUAAGACAGCUUCUACCUUAAUUGCAAAGGGCCUGGGAGGCCAAGCAGUGUGCCCCUGAGAGGGCAAUUUGUGAAGAUGUAAGGGUGAAGCCAAAGAUGCAAUGGAAACCCCAGAAGUUUGGAAAAGCCAGGAACAUGAAUCAUCCAAGGAAAGUUGCAAAAAGCGGGAAGAGAGGGUUUAAGAGAGAGAAGCUGUGGGACUGAAAUCCCUGGAAGUGCCAUGAGGGUGAAAUCACCCAAGCCUUUUGGAGCUUGCAGCCAGAUUGCUUCAAAUGCUGAGCAUGGAAAUGUAGGACUUAAUGUUCACCCUGUGAGAUGUUGGACUUGCUUUGUUUCCAAUGCUUUAUAUUCCCUUGUUUGUAACUUUUGGAAUUGCAGUGCUUAUCUUGUGCAUUUGCAUUUCAGAAAUGUAUAACCUUUUUUCAUUUAUACAGGAGGCUACAGUUAAGAGGUUGCCAUAGAUAUCAGAAGAGAUUUGGGACUUAGACCUCUCAGCAAUGCUGAAAAUGUUAGAACUUUGGCAACAUUGGAGAUGGACUAAAUGUCUUUUGUAUAAAGGAUGUACAUGAGUCUUUGGGGGCUAGAGGUGGAAUGUCAUGGUUAUGUCAGUGCCCCUCAGGCCUCAUGCAUUCACAUUGUGCAUUUAUGAUUGGUUCAUUGUCUAGCACUUGUAUUGAUGGUGGCAGUGCUACACCCACCCAGGGGUGGAGCCAGCAUACAAUGUAAUGACAGAAAGAAGGUGUGUCUCUCUCUCCUUCAGCUUUGUGCCUUGAUGCUUGCAGCUACCAUGAACCAAGGCCCACCAUACCACCCAGCCUUGGAGCCAACUGAGUAUGGACUGAAACCUCCAAAAACUGUAGGAAAUAAACAUUUGUGUUCCCAACUUUGGGCAUCAGGUCUUUUGUCUCAACGAUGAGUAAAAAGUAACUAAGACACUCAUCUUCACUGUUGUGCUUAGCACAAAAAGUUACUGGAACUGUGGGAAGGGAAAAAAGACUGGUGACAAUCUACUCAGAAAGAUAAAAAUCAUCCUCUUUUAAGAAUAUGAAAAAGGCAGCAUGAUCCUGAGUGAACUUUAAUAUUUCUCUUUCUGAAAAGGAAUGGAUGCUCAGUAAUUAGUGAUUAUGAUGGAAAAUAUGUUCUAUUGUUGUUUUGUUUUGUUUAUUAAUAAGAGGUCAACUCCAUAUUGGAUUUCCAUUUCCAAAUAGAUGACUGGAUGUAUUCAGUCAGCCUUCUGAGAUGUUACAGAACAAGAUAAAUUUUGAAAAAAGUUUGAAAUUUACUCUAUUGUUUACUCCUUUAUUGAUGCAUAUUUCUUCAUGUACUAAUAUUUACAAAAAAGUUCAUAAUAAAGUUUACAAUUAAUAUUAA
Long non-coding RNA from Cavia porcellus (domestic guinea pig), 3727 nucleotides. RefSeq lists it as uncharacterized. The transcript is spliced from 8 exons. Lineage: Eukaryota; Metazoa; Chordata; Mammalia; Rodentia; Caviidae. The record is from RefSeq and is a predicted model, not a curated record.